CCUUCACUGUAUUAAAAACCAAUCCUUAUCUCUUCCUCCUUUGAGCAAACCAGAACAGGAUUUUAGAUUUCUAUCUCAUCAAUGGCCACAGUUACCUAUGCAGCUGUUUCUAUCCCAUCUUUCACUGGCCUUAAGGCAGCAGCCACGACCAAAAUCAGUUCCCCUGUCACGGUCUCAGCUUCUGCUUUUCCAAAAUUGACCAUCAAAGCCUCACUCAAGGAUGUGGGUGCGGCUGUUUUGGCCACUGCUGCAAGUGCAGUCCUGGCCAGCAAUGGAAUGGCUAUUGAGAUUUUGUUGGGUGGCAGUGAUGGGUCGCUGGCUUUUGUUCCAAACUCCUUCUCUGCAAGUUCUGGCGAGGAGAUUGUGUUCAAGAACAAUGCUGGGUUCCCACACAAUGUUGUGUUUGAUGAAGAUGAGAUACCAAGUGGAGUUGAUGCCUCGAAGAUCUCAAUGAGUGAAGAGGAUCUGCUCAAUGCUCCCGGAGAGACUUAUGCUGUGACUUUGACUGAGAAAGGGAGCUAUACCUUCUACUGUUCCCCUCACCAGGGAGCUGGCAUGGUAGGAAAGGUUACUGUCAAUUGACUUUGUAUGGGACGACCUGACGAACACCUCUUCUAUGUAUUCUUCAUUUUAUUGUUUUGAUAUUGUAUUCAUUUUAUUGUUUUGACAUUGUAGAUUUGUGGGUAAUAGUACUUUAUUUGAAC
This is an RNA transcript of Tripterygium wilfordii, 704 nucleotides long. It is a transcript of the gene named plastocyanin-like, with no coding region annotated. Lineage: Eukaryota; Viridiplantae; Streptophyta; Magnoliopsida; Celastrales; Celastraceae. The record is from RefSeq and is a predicted model, not a curated record. The transcript has 2 exons.